GCCUUUCCCCAGAGUUUCAAGUGGGCUUCGAUGGAAUAGUUUAUGCCUUCUCAGCUUAUGCAGUCAUGUCGGUAACCCAAUUUAGUGCUAGCUCAUUAGUCUCUUCUUAUGAUUCCUAGCGCCCAACACAAUUGCUGUCAAUUACAAAGUCUGGGAUAAAAUUGAUAAAAUUUUUAAAAAUCACGUGUAAUUGACAAUCCAUGCAAGUUUUGACGGGAUCGUUAACCCUCAGCUAAUUGUUGAUGUUGUACUCCAAAUUAGGAACUACUGCAUGGGAAGCUAGGAACAUGAACAAGGAGAACUUGAAGAAAUCAUCUGUUUCUUACUAGAUAGACCUAGAAUUGCUUUAAAGAUUUUUUAUGAAUCUGAUCCAGUUGCUUUGCUUUGAAGAUUUGAGUUGUUGAACUUGCAACACUACAAGGAAUUUUGACUUUGCCAACAGAUUAUGUCUGUUGUUGGCAACCACAUUGGUAAUUUCUCAGCAACAGACUACACAAUCCGUUGGUGAUUACCAACAGACAUUCGGUUGGCAUUGGCAUCGGAUUAGCCAAUCUGUUGGCAAAUGAAAUGAAUUUCAACGCAUAUCUGAGAAGGAAUUACCAAUGGAAUUGAAUAUUACCAACAAUUGGUGAUUGGUAAUCCGUUGGUGUUUGGUUUGGAGAGUAUGGCUAACUUCCAAUGGAUUCAUGCCGUUGCUAUUUCCAACGGCUUUGUCGUUGGUGGUCUGUUGGUAAUUGGACACUUUUGUUGUUGUUGUUGUUGUUGGUGUUG
This 771-nucleotide unclassified non-coding RNA is filed under the name Hevea brasiliensis (rubber tree). The record is from RNAcentral. Lineage: Eukaryota; Viridiplantae; Streptophyta; Magnoliopsida; Malpighiales; Euphorbiaceae.